Camelina sativa (false flax) is the source of this 858-nucleotide non-coding RNA. The record is from RefSeq and is a predicted model, not a curated record. Lineage: Eukaryota; Viridiplantae; Streptophyta; Magnoliopsida; Brassicales; Brassicaceae.
GGUGGUGGGUACUUGGCACAGUGUAGAUCCACAUUGAAGUCACAGAUCUCGCAGCGAUAACUGUUGACAUUUCAGGAUCUUCCUCUUAAGUCUUUCUUAAGAGGUUCACCAUCUCCCUUACACUCACUUGUAUGCUCUGUUUCUCUUACUCUAACAGAAGCAUAAAGACUCUCUCUUUACUCUCUUGUUCUUUCUUUGUUUCUUUUCAUAUGACAAACGAUUUGUAAGAGAGAAGAGAGAACACACAUUAAUUGUCUACAUUUUAUUUUCGGAUCUCAAGGAUACUUUCUUACAACACACACAUCAUACUUAUACUACUUCUACUAGUUGCACCUCCCACAUGCUCCCAUACUUAAGACCAUCAUGACUCUUACACAUUAGACCACGCUCCUAGUUACUAACCCUUACACAUCAUAGGUUUGCUUUCUUACACAAGCCACACUACUAUUACAACAACUCUCUUAGCUAGGCUUUAACCAAACAAAUGACUAAGUCACAACACAACUUUCUACUUUGUCUUGUCCUUGGUCUCUUGCUUCUACUUGUCGAGUCCAUCUUCCACAUGGACCACCAAAAACAUCUUUCUCUUUGGGCCUAAAUCAAAUUUAAUCAAGAACUCAAUUCUCAACAGUAUCGUAAGUAGAGGGCAGCAUGGUGGUGAGCAAGCCUUGGUCUGGGCUCCUUUGUGGUUUUUGUUUUCUCUUUUUCUGUUUUCUUUGAAUAAAGCACCAACGGUUGAUCCAUAUGGUUGUAUUCUUCUUAUGCUUCGGUUGUUAUUGUUGCUUUUCUCUUGUAUUUUUCUGGGUUGUACCCGAUGUUCUUCAAGUUUUCGAGUAAUAAAUAAAACCUGUUGGCCCU